RNAcentral lists this non-coding RNA (29 nucleotides) under Mus musculus (house mouse). Lineage: Eukaryota; Metazoa; Chordata; Mammalia; Rodentia; Muridae. The record is from RNAcentral.
UNCUCCAGGUGUUUUGGCAGAUGUGUGCC